UGUGACCAUUAAGAGGUGGGGUUUAGGGGGAUUCCAUCAAGCAUUGAGUGAGUGCCUAUUAUGAUACUGUGCUCAUGUGUCAUUAAUGACCUGCAAGACACUGAUUGCUGGCUCCAUUUUACAGAUGACGAAACUGAGCCUCAGGGGAGGUUCCAGGCUGCGUGCUUCUUGCUCGGAUGCUCUUUAGUCCUCUCAAUGACAGUGCUGAUGGGAUUGGAUGGAAAAUCAUGUACGCAGGUACCACCUGGGACCAUCCGGAGCCUGAGAAACUCUUGGGACACUAUGAGAAUCCAUUGUCACAUUUUGAUAUUGAUUCUGAGAAAAAUAAUCUUGGAGAAAGGUCCAGUUAUAAGUAGAAGAUGUUAUUCCAUCAAUAUCUAGAACAGCAAGAACCUGGAUCCUCCUUGAUGGGCCAUUUAUAGGGGAGUGGCAGAGCAAGUCAUGGUGUAUUAAUGCAAUCAUCUUCAGUGUCCACGGCGGCAGAGAUCUAACACAUGUAGAAUGCCUGGAAAGCAGAGUCUAAGCUGGACUUUACACUAUGAAUGCAGUCGUGUUAAAUCUGUGCAAUGACAAAUGUGGGCAAUGGAGGAAGGUCAAAGGCAAAAUUGAAGGGUUACAGCUGGGGCGGGGGCUGUGAUUUGCAUCGAAUGUUAUUUGGACUGAGUCACUAGGAAAUCCUAUAAGUGACCUGGAGAGGCCCAGACUUUGGGAUUCCAAACCAAGAAUCUGGCCCACCAGGCUGACCAGCCUCUGUGUGCAUGGCUUACAGUAGGGCUUCAUCAGAAAUUUCCCGAAUACAGCCUCCAUGCUGGCCCCAAGCUAGACAUACAUGCAAAUGCCCCUUGUCUGGCUUCAGGAAGCCAAAUGAUCUUCACCAGGGAUUUUCAGGAGGUCAAAGCACUCUGAUCUGGACUGGAAGGUUCUCCAUGAGUGUUCUGCAAAGCUGGUCAGCUGGGGCUGGUCUUGCUUGAUGGCACUGGAGAGCACUUUCUAUGGAAGCAAAGAGUCCUGCAAGAGGGGGGCUGCCUGAGGCCUAAUGGAGCUGAUUGGAGCCCUGUGCAGUUAGUAAGUUAGACUGCAUGUGACAAUCAUGCCUUUGGGCCCACAGGGCCAUUUCCAACUUUAGACAAAGCAAAGGCAAGAAUGGAACCAUUUCCGUUUGAAAAGUACUCCAUAGGGGCCUUUAAAGCAGGGCAGAAGAUGUCCAGUUCCCAAGCCACCAUCUCCCCAGAGUCCUCUGGCUGGACCCCUUCCUUAGACGUAGGCUCCUGCACCCCGCUCCCACUCUGGUCUCCAUCCCAGGCAGCCUGGCCUCUGCCCAGCUGCUGAGAACAGCUUUGCCAGUUAACACCCAACCCUGCCUCAAAAAUCACACCCCGACAACUUGGAUAGCUUGAGUUGCCAAAGAUUGGGCUCGGUCAAGACUCUGGCUUUGCUGCCGUUCAUUCAUUCGUUCAUUUUUUUUUUUUUUUAAAUCUGUUCCUCCAUUCCUAAGCACCACUCAUUCUAUGCCAGACAUUGUUCUAGGCCCUGGGGAUAUGGCAGGACCAUGGUGGGUCCAAGUGAAUAAUAAAAA
Molecule: long non-coding RNA, 1576 nt
Organism: Marmota flaviventris (yellow-bellied marmot)
Lineage: Eukaryota; Metazoa; Chordata; Mammalia; Rodentia; Sciuridae
Source: RefSeq, a predicted model, not a curated record